Molecule: non-coding RNA, 75 nt
Organism: Podarcis lilfordi (Lilford's wall lizard)
Lineage: Eukaryota; Metazoa; Chordata; Lepidosauria; Squamata; Lacertidae
Source: the annotation of a GenBank genome assembly
AGAAAGGCUGUAGCUCAGUGGUCAAGCAUUUGCUCUCCGUGCAAAAGUUUCCAGGUUCAAUCUCUGGCUUUUCCA